GACGAACGCUGGCGGCGUGCCUAACACAUGCAAGUUGAGCGACGAACCAGGGCUUGCCCUGGGGCAAAGCAGCGAACGGGUGAGUAACACGUGGAUAACGUACCCCGAUAACCGGGACAACCCGAGGAAACUCGAGCUAAUACCGGAUGUGCUUGCUUCACAUCAGUGAAGUACGUAAAGGAAGCUUCGGCCUCCGUAUCGGGAGCGGUCCGCGGCCCAUUAGCUAGUUGGUGAGGUAACGGCUCACCAAGGCAACGAUGGGUAGCUGGUCUGAGAGGACGAUCAGCCACACUGGGACUGAGACACGGCCCAGACUCCUACGGGAGGCAGCAGUGGGGAAUCUUGCGAAUGCGCGAAAGCGUGACGCAGCAACGCCGCGUGGGGGAAGAAGGUUUUCGGAUUGUAAACCCCUUUCAGGAAGGACGAAGGUUCGGCAGUGAAUAGCUGACCGGACUGACGGUACUUCCACAAGAAGGUCCGGCUAACUACGUGCCAGCAGCCGCCGUAAAAC
RNAcentral lists this ribosomal RNA (511 nucleotides) under uncultured bacterium. RNAcentral's name for it is "bacterial SSU rRNA". It matches the Rfam family "Bacterial small subunit ribosomal RNA", at positions 28 to 526 of the family's 1533-position model. The record is from RNAcentral.